UACGUAGGGCGCAAGCGUUGUCCGGAAUUAUUGGGCGUAAAGAGCUCGCAGGCGGCUUGUCGCGUCGGAUGUGAAAGCCCGGGGCUUAACUCCGGGUCUGCAUUCGAUACGGGCAGGCUAGAGUUCGGUAGGGGAGAUCGGAAUUCCUGGUGUAGCGGUGAAAUGCGCAGAUAUCAGGAGGAACACCGGUGGCGAAGGCGGAUCUCUGGGCCGAUACUGACGCUGAGGAGCGAAAGCGUGGGGAGCGAACAGG
Molecule: ribosomal RNA, 253 nt
Filed under: uncultured bacterium
Lineage: Bacteria
Description: partial 16S ribosomal RNA
Rfam family: Bacterial small subunit ribosomal RNA
Source: RNAcentral